RNAcentral lists this ribosomal RNA (229 nucleotides) under uncultured bacterium. RNAcentral describes it as "partial 16S ribosomal RNA". It matches the Rfam family "Bacterial small subunit ribosomal RNA", at positions 104 to 334 of the family's 1533-position model. The record is from RNAcentral.
CGGGGUGAGUAAUGUCUGGGAAACUGCCUGAUGGAGGGGGAUAACUGCUGGAAACGGUAGCUAAUACCGCAUAACGUUGCAAGACCAAAGAGGGGGACCUUCGGGCCUCUUGCCAUCGGAUGUGCCCAGAUGGGAUUAGCUAGUAGGUGGGGUAACGGCUCACCUAGGCGACGAUCCCUAGCUGGUCUGAGAGGAUGGCCAGCCACACUGGAACUGAGACACGGUCCAG